UACGUAGGGGGCGAGCGUUAUCCGGAUUUAUUGGGCGUAAAGCGUGUGUAGGUGGUUCGUAAGGUCAGGCGUAAAAUAUCACAGCUUAACUGUGUAGGGCGUUUGAAACCGACGGACUUGAAUACGGUAGAGGCAGGUGGAAUUCCAUGUGUAGCGGUGGAAUGCGUAGAUAUAUGGAGGAACACCAAUGGCGAAGGCAACCUGCUGGGCCGGAAUUGACACUGAGACACGAAAGCGUGGGGAGCAAACAGGAUUAGAUACCCUGGUAGUCCACGCCGUAAACGAUGAGAACUAAGUGUUGGCGCAAGUCAGUGCUGAAGUUAACGCAUUAAGUUCUCCGCCUGGGUAGUACGGUCGCAAGACUG
This 365-nucleotide ribosomal RNA is filed under the name uncultured prokaryote. RNAcentral's name for it is "bacterial SSU rRNA". It matches the Rfam family "Bacterial small subunit ribosomal RNA", at positions 524 to 896 of the family's 1533-position model. The record is from RNAcentral.